This 253-nucleotide ribosomal RNA is filed under the name uncultured prokaryote. RNAcentral's name for it is "partial 16S ribosomal RNA". It matches the Rfam family "Bacterial small subunit ribosomal RNA", at positions 525 to 777 of the family's 1533-position model. The record is from RNAcentral.
ACGAAGGGGGCUAGCGUUGCUCGGAAUUACUGGGCGUAAAGCGCACGUAGGCGGCUUUGCAAGUCGGAUGUGAAAUCCCUCGGCUUAACCAAGGAAGUGCAUCCGAAACUGCAGAGCUUGAGUACUUAAGAGGAUCGCGGAAUUCCCGGUGUAGAGGUGAAAUUCGUAGAUAUCGGGAGGAACACCAGUGGCGAAGGCGGCGAUCUGGGAAGAUACUGACGCUGAGGUGCGAAAGCGUGGGGAGCAAACAGGA